Molecule: small nuclear RNA, 109 nt
Filed under: Propithecus coquereli (Coquerel's sifaka)
Lineage: Eukaryota; Metazoa; Chordata; Mammalia; Primates; Indriidae
Source: RNAcentral
GUGCUCGCUUCGGCAGCACAUAUACUAAAAUUGGAAUGAUACAGAGAAGAUUAGCAUGGCUCCUGUAAUAAAAAUAAAAUUUAAAUAAAUAAACAAAUAACACACAUUG